RNAcentral lists this small RNA (205 nucleotides) under Nocardioides sp. PD653. Its description in RNAcentral is "Actinobacteria sRNA Ms_IGR-5". It matches the Rfam family "Actinobacteria sRNA Ms_IGR-5". Lineage: Bacteria; Bacillati; Actinomycetota; Actinomycetes; Propionibacteriales; Nocardioidaceae. The record is from Rfam by way of RNAcentral.
ACACGGGAAAGGAGGUGGUCCGAAGAAUGAUCGAUUCUUGGAUGCGUGAGGUGGCUGCCCGCUAGCAGCCCCAGCAACAUCGCGGGUGGAAGUGCCCGUGAAGGCUGCUGGUGAAUCCAUCGCAGUCACCCGACCCGCAGGCGAUCCGGUCUUCACAUCCACCGGAGCGGUCUCCCCGGAGGCCAGCGCCUGCGGGUCGCUGCAU